GACUUUGAGUGUAGGGGUUAAGACGUUGGUAUCACACACCAAAAAUCGCCGGUUCGAAUCCGGCCGGAAUCA
This is a non-coding RNA of Strongyloides papillosus, 72 nucleotides long. NCBI's taxonomy places the organism in Eukaryota, Metazoa, Nematoda, Chromadorea, Rhabditida, Strongyloididae. The record is from Rfam.